RNAcentral lists this non-coding RNA (24 nucleotides) under Arabidopsis thaliana (thale cress). Lineage: Eukaryota; Viridiplantae; Streptophyta; Magnoliopsida; Brassicales; Brassicaceae. The record is from RNAcentral.
UGCAAUCCAGGUGUUAAGUGUAUG